RNAcentral lists this ribosomal RNA (181 nucleotides) under Pseudoalteromonas sp. MSK9-3. RNAcentral describes it as "partial 16S ribosomal RNA". It matches the Rfam family "Bacterial small subunit ribosomal RNA", at positions 1 to 175 of the family's 1533-position model. Lineage: Bacteria; Pseudomonadati; Pseudomonadota; Gammaproteobacteria; Alteromonadales; Pseudoalteromonadaceae. The record is from RNAcentral.
UUUAAUUGAAGAGUUUGAUCAUGGCUCAGAUUGAACGCUGGCGGCAGGCCUAACACAUGCAAGUCGAGCGGUAACAGAGAUAGCUUGCUAUCUGCUGACGAGCGGCGGACGGGUGAGUAAUGCUUGGGAAUAUGCCUUUUGGUGGGGGACAACAGUUGGAAACGACUGCUAAUACCGCAUA